Molecule: ribosomal RNA, 279 nt
Filed under: uncultured Prevotella sp.
Lineage: Bacteria; Pseudomonadati; Bacteroidota; Bacteroidia; Bacteroidales; Prevotellaceae
Description: partial 16S ribosomal RNA
Rfam family: Bacterial small subunit ribosomal RNA
Source: RNAcentral
GCAGCCGCGGUAAUACGGAAGGUCCGGGCGUUAUCCGGAUUUAUUGGGUUUAAAGGGAGCGCAGGCGGUCUUAUAAGCGUGACGUGAAAUGCAGCGGCUCAACCGUAUGAUGUGCGUCGCGAACUGUGAGACUUGAGUGUAUUCGAUGUCAGCGGAAUUUGUGGUGUAGCGGUGAAAUGCUUAGAUAUCACGAAGAACUCCGAUUGCGAAGGCAGCUGACAAGGCUACAACUGACGCUAAAGCUCGAAAGUGCGGGUAUCGAACAGGAUUAGAUACCCC